AAACUAACAAGGAUUCCCCUAGUAACGGCGAGUGAACCGGGAAAGCUCAAAUUUGAAAUCUGGCGUCCUCAGGGCGUCCGAGUUGUAAUCUAUAGAGGCGUUUUCCGUGCCGGACCGUGUCCAAGUCCCUUGGAACAGGGUAUCAAAGAGGGUGACAAUCCCGUACUUGACACGACUACCGGUGCUCUGUGAUACGUCUUCUACGAGUCGAGUUGUUUGGGAAUGCAGCUCAAAAUGGGUGGUGAGUUCCAUCUAAAGCUAAAUAUUGGCGAGAGACCGAUAGCGAACAAGUACCGUGAGGGAAAGAUGAAAAGCACUUUGGAAAGAGAGUUAAACAGUACGUGAAAUUGUUGAAAGGGAAACGAUUGAAGUCAGUCGUGACCGAGAGGCUCAGCCGGCUCUGCCGGUGUAUUCCCCUCGGUCGGGUCAACAUCAGUUUUGUCCGGUGGAUAAGGGCGGUAGGAAGGUGGCACCCACGGGUGUGUUAUAGCCUGCCGUCACAUACACUGGGUGAGACUGAGGAAUGCAGCUCGCCUUUAUGGCCGGGGUUCGCCCACGUCCGAGCUUAGGAUGUUGACAUAAUGGCUUUAAACGAC
RNAcentral lists this ribosomal RNA (596 nucleotides) under Papiliotrema fonsecae. RNAcentral describes it as "eukaryotic LSU rRNA". It matches the Rfam family "Eukaryotic large subunit ribosomal RNA", at positions 62 to 648 of the family's 3401-position model. Lineage: Eukaryota; Fungi; Basidiomycota; Tremellomycetes; Tremellales; Rhynchogastremaceae. The record is from RNAcentral.